GCACCCUGAUCCAGCCAUGCCGCGUGAGUGAUGAAGGCCUUAGGGUCGUAAAGCUCUUUCGCCUGUGAAGAUAAUGACUGUAGCAGGUAAAGAAACCCCGGCUAACUCCGUGCCAGCAGCCGCGGUAAUACGGAGGGGGUUAGCGUUGUUCGGAAUUACUGGGCGUAAAGCGCGCGUAGGCGGACUGGAAAGUUGGGGGUGAAAUCCCAGGGCUCAACCCUGGAACUGCCUCCAAAACUAUCAGUCUAGAGUUCGAGAGAGGUGAGUGGAAUUCCGAGUGUAGAGGUGAAAUUCGUAGAUAUUCGGAGGAACACCAGUGGCGAAGGCGGCUCACUGGCUCGAUACUGACGCUGAGGUGCGAAAGUGUGGGGAGCAAACAGGAUUAGAUACCCUGGUAGUCCACACCGUAAACGAUGAAUGCCAGUCGUCGGGUAGCAUGCUAUUCGGUGACACACCUAACGGAUUAAGCAUUCCGCCUGGGGAGUACGGUCGCAAGAUUAAAACUCAAA
RNAcentral lists this ribosomal RNA (509 nucleotides) under Ruegeria sp. Its description in RNAcentral is "bacterial SSU rRNA". It matches the Rfam family "Bacterial small subunit ribosomal RNA", at positions 378 to 905 of the family's 1533-position model. Lineage: Bacteria; Pseudomonadati; Pseudomonadota; Alphaproteobacteria; Rhodobacterales; Roseobacteraceae. The record is from RNAcentral.